UGGAGGAGGACGCCAUGCCUGUAAACAAAUGGAAGCCAAUGGUUUGACAUGUUAGCAUGCAAAAGAGAUAACCAUAAGCAUUCACUCAGAAGCACACAACAGGCAAAGUGGAUCACAACAAUGUGGGGGAACCAAAGGAAAGAAGAAAGGAGGGAAAGAACACAUAAAAAUGAAAAAUGGUGGGUGCAGAGAGGGUGGCGCCAGGCGCCAAAUUUUCACGCUGGGCGUGAAAUCCUGCUGGAAGGCCAAAUUCAAAAAAUUCUGGUGCAGGGAAACUGGCGCCUGGCGCAAGCUAGGUCACGCUGGGCGUGAAAACCUGCUGUAAAGGCCAUUUUUUUUCAGUUUUCAGUGUAGAGAAAGUGGCGCCUGGCGCCAGGUUUUCACGCUGGGCGUGAGUGCUGCAGAAUUGUUGUGUAGGGCCAGAAACAGUCAUACCCAUCAUAGAGUGUUCAAAAAUCAGGUUCACAUGCAAUUUAGACAGUAACAACAGGGCAAAAAUGAAGUGAAGGCAGGAUCAAGUGUGUAUCCCAAAAACACAUAACACAAACACAAAAAAAACAAAACAAGAUAACCAUUGACUCAAUUUUUAAAAGCAAACUAUUCUUGGAACAACACACAAGAAUCAAUCACAAUAACAGCAAAUAAACAUUUGAGACAAAGCAAGGUAUGCCUACUUGAGUUGGAGUUGAUUGGAGGACGAAAUUGAAGAGUUGGACAAGUAAGAUGUUGCAGCAACACUUGCUAUCCCUAAUUGGCAAUUCACCAAACACGUGGUGGGCAGUGAAGGUUGAAGGAAAAUAAUGGGAUGUUUUGGUGGUUGGAGUGAGAUAGAAUGUGGUGACGUGAGUGGGUUGAAGGAAAUCUUUUAGAAAAGGGAAAAGAUGGUGGGUUUGGGGGAAGAAGAAAUUUGAGAGUGGAAAAGGGGAAAAUGUUAAAGAUGGGUGAGAAGGGAAGGGGAUUUAGUGUGGGAGUUGAUUGCAAAGAAGAGGAGAAUGAGUGGUUGUAGAGGAAUGAUGUGGUUUUGAGAGAAGGAGGGAGGUUGAGUGAGAGGGAGAGAGUGGGGUUGAGGAAGAGUGAGUUCGUGCAGAGUGAGAGGGUGGGUGGGGUGCAGGGUAGGGCUUAGGAAAAAUAGGAAAGUGCCAAAUAGGCCCAAUGCAGAUCAGCCCAAGUCAGACUCAAAGUCUGCACGUUCACGCUGGGCGUGAGGCAUUUCGCGCUGGGCGUGAAAUGCUGUUGUUUCCCACCAUUGCAGGAGAAUUUGCGCUGGGCGUGGGAUCUGUGCCGCCCAGCGCCAAUUAUGCAGAAUUGCUGCAGAACAGAAAAUUGGUCCAACACAACUUUGACUUUUGAUUUUAGAUAUUUCUAAACACUCAAUUCAGCCCAGAUCAAAGUGUUUCCACUAUCCAAACUUGUUCAAAUCAAUAGGGAGUGAAAUUGAGUGCUAGAACUCUAAAUCAAAUGUCCACUAAAAAGAUUUUUCAACCUUCCAACUCAAGAUUUGACUUUGACAACAAAAACACCUAAAACAUGCCUCAAUUUAACAAACUAAGCUUGAACAGGCACAACAUACCAGAAUGCACAUAAACAACUUUGGUUGAGCCUGAUCAUAGCAAGACCUCACAACACUCAACAUCCACCAAACUAACACAAAUUUCAAACAAAAGCACAAUUCCUACAACUAAUUUGACUAGGGACAAACAAAACAACUUCACACAAACAAAACAUAACAAAAUAAGAAACACACAAGAGAAGGGAUAGAAAACUGGGUUACCUCCCAGCAAGCGCUUGUUUAACGUCACGAGCCUGACACCGUUAUGCUCAAGGAUCAACUAACUCAACACUUGUGUUGAGGCGAUCAACGUCACCACCC
Molecule: long non-coding RNA, 1870 nt
Filed under: Vigna radiata
Lineage: Eukaryota; Viridiplantae; Streptophyta; Magnoliopsida; Fabales; Fabaceae
Description: long non-coding RNA (VRAD_LNC012319)
Source: RNAcentral